RNAcentral lists this ribosomal RNA (492 nucleotides) under uncultured bacterium. RNAcentral describes it as "partial 16S ribosomal RNA". It matches the Rfam family "Bacterial small subunit ribosomal RNA", at positions 29 to 507 of the family's 1533-position model. The record is from RNAcentral.
AGUGAACGCUGGCGGUAGGCCUAACACAUGCAAGUCGAACGGCGGCACAGUAAGAGCUUGCUCUUACGGGUGGCGAGUGGCGGACGGGUGAGGAAUACAUCGGAAUCUACUUUUUCGUGGGGGAUAACGUAGGGAAACUUACGCUAAUACCGCAUACGACCUACGGGUGAAAGCAGGGGAUCUUCGGACCUUGCGCGAUUGAAUGAGCCGAUGUCGGAUUAGCUAGUUGGCGGGGUAAAGGCCCACCAAGGCGACGAUCCGUAGCUGGUCUGAGAGGAUGAUCAGCCACACUGGAACUGAGACACGGUCCAGACUCCUACGGGAGGCAGCAGUGUGGAAUAUUGGACAAUGGGCGCAAGCCUGAUCCAGCCAUACCGCGUGGGUGAAGAAGGCCUUCGGGUUGUAAAGCCCUUUUGUUGGGAAAGAAAAGCAGCAGGUUAAUACCCCGCUGUUCUGACGGUACCCAAAGAAUAAGCACCGGCUAACUUCGUG